ACCAGAAGAUCAUGAUCGACUUCACGGAGAUUCUCUCGGCCGUCGGCGAAUUUGGGGCGUUUCAGAAGCGCUUGUUGGUGGCGGUGUGUAUCCCUAACAUUUUCAAUGCCUUCCACAUGUUCGGCCAGGUGUUCAGCGCCAUCAGCUUCCCGCACUACUGCAACAGCGGAUAGAAGUAAAGUUGGUUUUAUAUUCGCACAUUCCGACCUCUGCGUUCAAUAAGUUUGUAAAUCAGCAAGUAAAGAAUCCAUAUUCAAUUAUUUACCGUUGUAGUCGAUUAUGAGCAAAAUGUACACCACACUUUUCUGUCAAACUCGGCGUUUUAAAGGAGUAGAAAAACACGCUUACCUCUAUGAAGGAGGUGACGUCAUCGCUUUUUUGAGGGACCGUCUACAAACUAUCAGUUUGUAAAAUCAAGCUGCUAACGUUCACUGUCUAUAAUUGUACGCAAGCAAAAGAUGGCCAGAUUGAGACUUGUGAACUUCACCACUGGCUCCCUCCUUUAAAAUGUUACUCUGCUGAAGUACAUGUGAAUAAAAAAAAUAUUUUCAAGACAGCAAAUAACAGUGUCAUGAAAUGAGUUCGGCUCAUGUGGACGAAAAGAGUCCAAAAUGAGAAUCUAUGCAUUUGGGGAUUUACAAUGCUAUUAUUCACUUUGGAAUGUUUUUUUUUUUACUUGCAUGUACUUGCACAAUAUUUUUAUACAUAAUUGCCACACAUUACAUAGUAAUGUAAUAAGUUGUACUUUCAUUACAUAUUAAGUGAGAUUCUUGCCAAUGUUUGUUUCAUGUCCCAUGUGUCAAUAUAGAGCUGCAAUAGGAAGACCAGCAGACCUUUUGUGAUUUGUGUUUGUAAUCAAUGAAAUUGCAUGAUAAAAUGAUGAAAUAGGAGAUGUAAUGGAUUUAUUCUUAAA
RNAcentral lists this long non-coding RNA (913 nucleotides) under Danio rerio (zebrafish). RNAcentral's name for it is "lncRNA si:ch211-179l5.5 (ENSDARG00000096121.2)". Lineage: Eukaryota; Metazoa; Chordata; Actinopteri; Cypriniformes; Danionidae. The record is from RNAcentral.